GUGGACUGGGGCUCUUCCUCCUGUUCCUUCCCUCCAUAGGAAUUCGUCCUUACAACCACCUUACAAAAGGAGAAAGGUCAGGAAGCAUCAAGUGGAGCCGAGAGGGAGGAGCAGCAGGAACAGGAAGAAAAGGGAAGCUUUGAAAGCUCACAGAGCUGGCCGGAAGGACCUGGCAGAAGUGGGGGGCCUGAUGUCCUUUUCGUAAAGGAACAGGGGUUAAGUUCUUCAAGGGAAUGCUCAAAGAAUCCUGUACACUGAGAGUCAGGAGCUGAAUGUGGAAUUGGCAUCAUCUCCCAUAUCUCACACGGGGGAGGUGCUCUGAAGAGCGACGGCAGAAGGCUGAGAAUUACAG
Molecule: long non-coding RNA, 352 nt
Filed under: Equus caballus (horse)
Lineage: Eukaryota; Metazoa; Chordata; Mammalia; Perissodactyla; Equidae
Description: lncRNA (ENSECAG00000042659.2)
Source: RNAcentral